This is a long non-coding RNA of Saccostrea cuccullata (small rock oyster), 1359 nucleotides long. RefSeq lists it as uncharacterized. The record is from RefSeq and is a predicted model, not a curated record. Lineage: Eukaryota; Metazoa; Mollusca; Bivalvia; Ostreida; Ostreidae. The transcript is spliced from 3 exons.
CUCUCUAAAUCCGCAUAUAGUAUUUUUCAAUUACCCGUUAUUGUUGUAAAGCAAGAGUUAGGUUUUUUUGCUAGACUGGCAGUUCGAAAAUGUUAAAUCUAGUUGAUUAAUAGGAAGGGUUCAGUGGCUGCAACUUGGUAGCAGAGGAUGAUUUUUGCUCCUCAGAGGCACCAGAUCGUACCUUCAAAAUUUCUGGUGGUUUAUGCUUCUGUCCUUACCCCAUCGCCAUCAAUCAUUUUCGCUAUCUUUUACUCUGCGAACGUAGAUUUGAAAGAUAAAAUAGAUGUAUUAAAGCUCGAAUACUCAUUAAAUACUACAAAAUAUAAGAGUUCGUAUAUCUAAAAUUAUUAUACAUCCAACAAUUAAAAUGGGUCUAAAUUAAGGAGAAAUUAUUUAUCACAUAAAUACGUAUAAGUGGCUUAGCAUACAGCCAAACAACUAUUUGCCUGUUUAAAUACAUUAUGAUAGAAUAUUUAUUUGGUUAUAUUAUUAUUUUUACUUGGUAUAAAUCCAUCCAUGGAACCAUGUCUUUCACAAGAUGUUGAAUUUCAGAGUAUUAGUUUAUAAUUAGCUUCAAUGAAUUUAAUCUUACAAAUUGUUCAUCCAUGAAAUGCAGUUAAAAAAAAAUAAAAUAAAAUCUUAGAAUUAAAGCACAAGUUUUUAUUUCGCGAAAAUACGAGUUUACAGUAAUCAGUAAAUUUGCAAUGUGUUAAAUGCAUAUGUUUUACAGUAACGAAUUAUCAUGUUCUGAUGACUUGUUACAUUUUUUCAGAGUUUUCCGAAGAGGCGAAGAAAGAAGAAAGAGAAAUUUAAAAAUUUGGCUGCAAGUGAAAAUACUGAAAGUACCGUUACAUUUUCCGUUUUGAACCCUUCCAGUAUAAACGCCCUCUGUAAAUGCUUUACUUUGAACGAGGCGGGUCUAUUCGCCUUAUAGAUGGGCCUCCCGGUCUCCAUAAAGCAGGAACUCUUUGAAGCAGAAAAUCCUGCCAAAGAAUUGACCUUUAGAUUGCUACGUUUGUUGGGAGGAUCAAAGCAUAGUAGAGUAAGAAUCAGAAAAAUCCAUAAAGGAUUAAUGAUCAUCAACAGAAAAGAUCUGGCUGAAAUAUUUAGUAAAGCUUUCAAAGAGGAUCUUCCUUUUCCUGAGGACACAAUUACCUCGUCAGUCUUGAACUUCUCAAGAACAGAUUCAGAAGAACUCAUUUUCUAAACAUGUGUAGAGUAUUUCUGAAUAAAUGUACUGAGGUCGAAAAGAAGGGUACCCUAUUUAUACAGUAUUAUGAAAAUUAUAAGUAUAUUCCUCUUUUUUACAUUUCCUUUGUGUUUUCACUAUUAAAUAUAACAAUAAUAUGUUUUAAAAUU